CACGUAGGGGGCAAGCGUUGUCCGGAUUCAUUGGGCGUAAAGAGCUCGUAGGCGGUUCGAUAAGUCGGGUGUGAAACCUCCAGGCUCAACCUGGAGACGCCACCCGAUACUGUCGUGACUAGAGUCCAGUAGGGGAGCGUGAAAUUCCUAGUAUAACAAUAAAAUACACAAAUAUCAGAAGGAACACCAGCGGCGAAGGCGGCGCUCUGGGCUGGAACUGACGCUGAGGAGCGAAAGCGUGGGGAGCGAACAGG
RNAcentral lists this ribosomal RNA (254 nucleotides) under uncultured bacterium. RNAcentral describes it as "partial 16S ribosomal RNA". It matches the Rfam family "Bacterial small subunit ribosomal RNA", at positions 524 to 776 of the family's 1533-position model. The record is from RNAcentral.